ACCUCUCGGGGUUACAGCCUUGCUGAAUUAUUCACCCUUGUCUUUUGCGUACUUCUUGUUUCCUUGGUGGGUUCGCCCACCACUAGGACAAACAUAAACCUUUUGUAAUUGCAAUCAGCGUCAGUAACAAAUUAAUAAUUACAACUUUCAACAACGGAUCUCUUGGUUCUGGCAUCGAUGAAGAACGCAGCGAAAUGCGAUAAGUAGUGUGAAUUGCAGAAUUCAGUGAAUCAUCGAAUCUUUGAACGCACAUUGCGCCCUUUGGUAUUCCAAAGGGCAUGCCUGUUCGAGCGUCAUUUGUACCCUCAAGCUUUGCUUGGUGUUGGGCGUCUUGUCUCUAGCUUUGCUGGAGACUCGCCUUAAAGUAAUUGGCAGCCGGCCUACUGGUUUCGGAGCGCAGCACAAGUCGCACUCUCUAUCAGCAAAGGUCUAGCAUCCAUUAAGCCUUUUUUUCAACUUUUGACCUCGGAUCAGGUAGGGAUACCCGCUGAACUUAAGCAUAUCAAUAAG
Molecule: ribosomal RNA, 510 nt
Filed under: Alternaria gaisen
Lineage: Eukaryota; Fungi; Ascomycota; Dothideomycetes; Pleosporales; Pleosporaceae
Description: eukaryotic LSU rRNA
Rfam family: 5.8S ribosomal RNA (bases 143-296)
Source: RNAcentral